GACGAACGCUGGCGGCGCGCUUAACGCAUGCAAGUCGAACGGAAAGGCCUGCUUUCCCUUGUGGAUUGCGGGUACUCGAGUGGCGAACGGGUGAGUAACACGUGAGUGAUCUGCCCCCAACUUGGGUAUAAGCCUGGGAAACUGGGUCUAAUUCCCGAUAGGACUGCAGGGUGGUGCCUGUGGUGGAAAACGAUUUUCUAGUGGUUGGGGAUGAGCUCGCGGCCUAUCAGCUUGUUGGUGGGGUAAUGGCCUACCAAGGCGGCGACGGGUAGCCGGCCUGAGAGGGUGGACGGCCACAUUGGGACUGAGAUACGGCCCAGACUCCUACGGGAGGCAGCAGUGGGGAAUAUUGCACAAUGGGCGGAAGCCUGAUGCAGCGACGCCGCGUGGGGGAUGACGGCCUUCGGGUUGUAAACUCCUUUCGACCGCGAGGAAGCCACCUGGUUGGAAGGGUGGUGACGGUAGUGGUAGAAGAAGCACCGGCUAACUACGUG
RNAcentral lists this ribosomal RNA (494 nucleotides) under uncultured bacterium. RNAcentral describes it as "partial 16S ribosomal RNA". It matches the Rfam family "Bacterial small subunit ribosomal RNA", at positions 28 to 507 of the family's 1533-position model. The record is from RNAcentral.